AGAAGCACAAGAAGUCCGCCGGGAUCGCCGAGCCGCCCGUCGCCGACGACGCCUCCGCCGACGACACCACCAAGAAGGCCGCCGCGCCCGCCACCGCCGUCUCCAGGUGGGUCGUCGCCGCCGCCGGUGUCUUGGCCGGCGCCAUUCUCGCCGCCCUCUAAGCUAAGGAGACGACGACGACGACGAACAAAUGCAUCGCCCAUGCAUGCCGUAUGCACGAUGACUGAACUGGAGUGGUGAACCGAAU
RNAcentral lists this unclassified non-coding RNA (247 nucleotides) under Hevea brasiliensis (rubber tree). Lineage: Eukaryota; Viridiplantae; Streptophyta; Magnoliopsida; Malpighiales; Euphorbiaceae. The record is from RNAcentral.